This 219-nucleotide long non-coding RNA is filed under the name Physcomitrium patens. Its description in RNAcentral is "long non-coding RNA (PPAT_LNC003415)". Lineage: Eukaryota; Viridiplantae; Streptophyta; Bryopsida; Funariales; Funariaceae. The record is from RNAcentral.
CCAUAAUAAGAGUUUCAACAACUUCAAAAUGAGCAUUUGAGAAUCAAAAGAAAAGGUUGUAAGGUUUAGAAUUUGGACCACAAUUUGUGCACAAAUUGUAGAGAAUUUGGAAUUAAGAUGAUAAAGUUAUAGCUAUUUGAAGUUUAGGUGUCUUUUUAAGAUAUAUAGUUGCUGUUUUGAAGAUACAAGAAGUUUUAUGAUAGAUUUUAGAGAUAUAAA